RNAcentral lists this long non-coding RNA (7148 nucleotides) under Erythranthe guttata (spotted monkey flower). RNAcentral describes it as "long non-coding RNA (EGUT_LNC000246)". Lineage: Eukaryota; Viridiplantae; Streptophyta; Magnoliopsida; Lamiales; Phrymaceae. The record is from RNAcentral.
AAAUAAAGGAUUUAGCCUGGUUUAUCAAAUCAAUGCCGCUAAGACUAGAUGGGCAGCUAAAAUAUAUUUGCAACUCAGGUAAAUAUAUGUCAUGUUAUCUUUUAUUUCAUUGAUAACGUUAUUGUGACAACUAACAAAUUCUCUUUAGUUUUCUUUUCUUAAAAUCCUAAUUUUCUUUAACUAAAUUUUGCUCAGUCAAGAGAAUCUGAUCUGGAUAAUUUAACUUGGAAUCGUUGGUGAUAUUAAGGUCACUUUCUUGAACGGUACGUACCUAUUUCACUCUGUAUUGGUUUUUUAUAUACUAAUGUGUUGCAAAUAUUUUUCUUUUAUCAUUUUUGACCCAAAUUUAUUGGUUUUGGUUUUAGAAUUGUUUUUGUUAUGGUAAUUUGUUAUUGUUGUUGCUUAAGUUGAUAAUUGUGUAUCUUAUUUCUUGCUGAUUUUCUUAGACACUUACAAGUAGUUUGUAGUUUGAUAUUUUUUUCUUAUAUUUAGUUGUGUAAGUGGUACUUGGAACAUGAUGUAUGAUAAAGGUUGGGUGGGUCUUAACAGGUAAUAUAGUAUUUGGAUUAUUACCAUAAAAAUUGAAAACUUUAGUGUCUUAAUAAUAACUUUUGUCUCAAUGUAUUUGUUGUUUAUAUUUUAUUAGAGUUGAUCCUGAUUAUGAGAUAGGAGCGUGGAAAUUUGUAGAAGCCGUCAUAAAUAACUUAGGAAAUCCUGAGAUGAUCUUAUUGUUGGGUUCCGGGCACGCGUACGCAGCGGAAAACAAAAAUUUUAUGCGAAUUAAACAACUUUAAAACACAUAAGCACAUGCCCGAUAAUUAAAUCAAUUAAUUGCGUACCUUUGCGCUUCCAGCGAAAUUAAAAACAACAUACAUUGCGUACCUUUGCGCUUCCAGCGAAAUUAAAACAACAUACAUGCUUAAUUACUUAAUCGAAAUUAAAUCAAUUAGCAUGCUCGCGUUUAAAUCAAAUAAUCAUGCUCGCAAUAAUAAAACCAAUUUCAUGUAGUCACAUAAAAUCAUACAAGUUUCUUAUUAAAACGAACAUGCAUAUAUUAAUUUAAACGUAACCGAAUCGAAUGACAAUAGAUUCGAAACAUUACCUCUUGAAGCGUGAGGUAGGCGCACUAAGCAAAGCUAGAUUGCCACGGAAACCAAUCCAUGCAAUCCGGGGCAGCAACGGCGAUGAUCCGAGCUACGGCACCGCAUGUGAUUCACGCGCAGAGAAGAUGGCUAGCUGCUCUUCCCACUCCUAUUGAUCCAACCUGUUUGCUGAUCUGAAAUUACAGCCUUGCUCCGACUUCAGUAUCUCCAUGCGUAUUUACUGGAUGAACAAUUCCUUCUGGACGAUGGUAGAUUUACGAGUUAUGAAGCUGCUGUCAAAAUUUCACGUCCAUCGGAUGACCGGUUGAUUUAUGGCGAAUUUUCUCGCUGGGCAGCACAGAAAAUCCGAGAGCAGUUUUUCGGAAUUGCCUUCUCUCAUCUUCGAUUCUUCGAUCUUCCUCCUCUUGGAUUUCACCUCGUAUACUUCGAUCUACUAAACACGUGGCACUAGACACGUAAUAGUCAGAAUAACGGAAGAAAAGAAAGAAGGAAAGGAAUACCGAAAGAGAUCGGCCAACGGGUGGCCGAUUCCGGCGAAUUUCCGGCGACGGCGCGGUGGUGGUGGCCGUGGGAGAGGGUGGCUGAUCGAGAGAGGCAGCGGCUAGGGUUAUGAACGUGUGUUCUCUUAGUUGUAUGUGUGCAAGACCUAUAAAUCAAGUAUUUAUAUGUCUUGCAUAAAACCCUAACGGGCUUAAGUUGGACAGGGCCCAACAGCUUAUGUCCGUUAGUUCUUUUACUUGCUCGUCUCUCUCAAUUCAAUGAUCGGAAAAUUGUAACGAUUACAUUUUCGGAAUCAUUAUAAUGUCCUCGUCAUUACGAGUUCCAACUCUCGAUUUCCAACUUUCCAAAAGUGGAAACCCUAAUUCAGUGCACUUUCUAAAUUUGGAAACUUCCCGAUUUAGAAAGUCCACUUCAAUGUUCGCCUAUUCUUUUCCUUUUCUUAUUCUCAUUCGUAAUUCCAAAUUACGAAUGUUGGACCCGAUCGUAUUGACUUCCAAUCAUGCAAAGAUAAACUAUUUUAUCUCUGACCGUUUAUUCAAAGAUCUCAUGUGCACGAGCAGUGUGACCCUCGAUGGUUCAGGUGUAAGCUAGCCGUGGGCCCACAACCCUUUGUGGUCAAAACUCGUCCCCUUAGAGUUACGAUUAAGAUGAAACUCGUUUCACCUUAAUCACCCAACGAAUCAAGAUUGGCGUCUAGCAACUACGCGUCAUGAUUCCCUAGAUACAAAUGAAGUGCCUGCAAGAACCUUCAGAUAUAGUUAACGUACAGUACGGUCCCUUCGAUACAUAUGUCCCGAUCGAACUAGAGGCAUUGGUUCAUCGAGACCUCUUUAUAUGUUCGAUGACGGUGCGAUCGUUCCAAGUGUUGUAAUCGUCACGUGCAUGACUUAGAGAAUCGAAUUCUCUAAUCAUCACUUAGUCAGCUCUGGCCAGAGACUUAGAAUGAUUACAAACUUUCAGAACACACAGGACAUCCAAGACUAUUCUAGCGAUCGAAUCCCCGACUACAAUGCACAGACCUCCCAUUAGAUUUCGGACUGCACGAACACUGGCCCUUGGGAUGGUCCUCGGUGGAACUCAGAGACAGGUCACGAUACAGCUGGUCCUCUAGUGAAGUCACGGUGAUGUCUAGGUCAUAAGGACUAAUGGUGUACAACUAUACCAUAGAUAUCUCUACUCGAUUAUUGGGAACCACUUAGUGAUUUCUAGGGUGAGGGAGUUCAGUGAACUCGUCAACUUACGAGCACCCACUUAUGCAUGCCGAUAUCACAAUACCGUUUACUGAUGAGAUGCAGUACACAUACACUAAGUGCUAGUCUUCUAAUGGGAAAGGCCGAUAUCCUCAUUGGUGGCGUAACCCUUCGACUAGGAACACGUUUAACAGUUAUAAUACUUACGUAAAUAUCUCACGAUCCUAACGAUCAAUUACUAGUACUUGUAAUAACUGUAAGGACUAUAUCUAUGCUUGUGACAAAGGGACAAAGAUAUAGAAUGCCAAGGUGUUUUAUCAUUAAUACGAAUAAAGGUUCGUUUAUUACCAUAAUAAAUACGAAAGACCACAGCCACAAGUUGGCUUGUUGGUCACCUACUCUAACACUUAUGUCCUUGCAUAGAUUGUCGUAAUGUUGAUCAUCAAUACGGUAAUAUUGUUGUCGAACAUUUAGUAACAAGAGGAAUGGAUAUCAAAUACAAACAAAGAAAUGAUUGGUAUGAGCAUGGAGAGCAAAUGACUAGUGGAGAUAGAGUAGAUGAAAUAGACAAUAAUGAGGCGUUUAAUUUAUAUAAAGCUACCCACUAUCUGGAGGAAGACUAUGUGAAGUCUGGUGAGUUUGUUAACGAAGACUACGAUGAGCCUAUGGAAGGAAAACCUGAUGAUAGCUUUAUGGCAAACCUUAAAGACGCAGAAACUCCUUUGUAUUCUAAUGGGUCAAGAUUUAAUAAAUUGCAAGCCAUUGUAACUUUAUUCCGACUUAAAACUCGUAGUGGAUGGUCGGAUACAUGUUUUAAUGAACUUCUUGGUGUAUUAACGGACCUGCUUCCAGAGGAUAAUGUACUUCCAAAGUCAUUGUACUUAAUGAAAAAAAUUCUUAAGGAGUUUGGCAUGGGGUAUGAGAGAAUUCAUGCUUGUUUGAAUGAUUGCUGCCUAUUUAGAAACGAGUACAAGGACAUGGAAAAUUGUCCCAAAUGUGGUGAUUCAAGAUGGAAAAUAAAUAAGAGGACCAAAGUUAUAAGAAAAGGUGUCCCAGUUAAAGUUUUGCGAUAUUUUCCUAUAAUUCCAAGAUUUAAAAGGAUGUUCAGGUAUAAAAAAAUGGCUGAAGAUUUGAGAUGGCAUUUUAGCAAUAAAAGCACUGAUGGAAAAAUGCACCACCCUGUUGAUUCUGUAACAUGGGACCUAGUGAAUGGUAAAUGGGAAUCUUUUGCUACUGAACCACGAAAUCUUAGACUUGGUCUUUCUACUGAUGGUUUCAACCCAUUUUCUAUGUUAAGCUCCAGACAUAGUUGUUGGCCUGUAAUGUUAGUUACGUACAAUUUGUCUCCUAUGUUGUGCAUGCAAAAAGAGAACAUUAUGUUGACAUUAUUGAUUCCAGGUCCGAAGCAACCUGGAAACGAUAUAGAUGUGUAUUUACAACCACUUAUAGAAGACUUGCAAAAAUUGUGGUACAAUGGGGUGGAGGCAUAUGAUGCAUUUAGUAAUACUAUUUUUAACCUUAGAGCAAUUUUAUUAUGGACCGUAAAUGAUUUUCCAGCCUAUGGUAAUCUUGCUGGAUGUUGUACUAAAGGUAAAAUGGCAUGCCCUCUCUGUGGAAAAAAUACACAUCACCAAUGGUUAAAGUAUAGUAGAAAAUUUGCAUACAUGGGUCAUAGGAAAUUUUUGCCGCCUUCACAUUUAUACCGGGGAAAAAAGUCGUGGUUUGAUAAUAAUGUAGAAAACGGGAGCAAGCCAAGAAUCUUGACUGGUCGGAAUAUUUUUGCUGCUCUUGAAAAAUUUCCAAAUAAUUUUGGAAAAUUUAAAAAACAAAAAAGAAAAAGGAAUGACAAUGCAAACGGUGACAAGGAUGAUGAAGUCGGCAAUAAUGAAGAUGAUGAUCAAGAUGAUGAGCUAGUACGAUGGAAGAAAAAAUCCAUCUUCUUUGACUUACCAUAUUGGAAGGUUAGUAUUUAUAUAUUCUUUUGUCUUUAUUUCAAUAUAUAUACUUACAUAUAUAUAUACUGAGAGCUGCCUUCAUUGUUAAUAGGAACUUCCAUUACGUCAUAAUUUAGACAUAAUGCAUGUAGAAAAAAAUGUGUGCGAAAGUAUAAUAAGUACAAUUUUACAUUGUGGAAAGUCAAAAGAUGGGGUCAAUGCUAGGAAGGAUUUAGAAAAUAUGAAAAUAAGAAAGGAUUUACAUCCACAACCUCGAGGGAGUAAAACUUACCUUCCAGCAGCUCCAUGGACAUUGUCAAAGUCUGAGAAAAAAACUUUUUGCAAGAGAUUGUAUGAUUUCAAAGGACCUGAUGGUUAUUGCUCAAAUAUUGGGAAAUGUGUGUCGCUGGAAGAAUGCAAGGUUAUUGGCCUCAAGUCUCACGAUUAUCAUGUUCUAAUGCAACAAUUGCUUCCAAUUGCACUACGAGGAUUGCUUCCAAAAGGUCCUAGAAAGGCAAUACAUAGAUUAUCUAUUUUCUUCAACAAGUUAUGUCAACGUGUUAUUGAUAGAGAUAAAAUUGCAGUCCUAGAGGAUGAGGUUAUAGAAACAUUGUGCAUGCUUGAAAGAUACUUUCCACCGUCUUUUUUCGAUAUUAUGGUACACGUAGUAGUUCACCUAGGAAGAGAAGCUCGAUUAUGUGGACCUGUUCAAUUUCGUUGGAUGUAUCCAUUCGAGAGGUAAAUAAUUAUUUUAUGCAUUUUUUUUUACACUUUGUCUAUAUCUAAACCAUGUAGACGUCGAUUACUUAUAGAUACAUGAAAGUUCUCAAGGAUUAUGUAAGAAAUUAUGCACAGCCAGAGGGGUGUAUUGCCGAAUCUUAUCUUGGAGAAGAGUGUAUACGAUUUUGUAGUGAUUUUCUGAAAAAAAACAAUACGGGUUGAAGAAAAAGACGUUCGCAAUGAUGAUUGUGCGAAUAAUGAAGUAAUUUUAGAAGGUCGUCCAAUAUCAGGAUCCAAAUCAAUAAUGCUAAGUGACCAAGAAAAAAAAAUUGCGCACCUUGCUGUUAUAAUGAAUACAGCAAUGAUAGACCCAUAUUUAGAGUAAGUUUUGAUUUAUUAUUUCAAUAUUUAUAUAAAUAAAAAAUUCAAAUGUAUACUUAAUUUUUUUCUUCUUUUAGCAUGCACUUGGAAGAAUUACAAGAAUCAAACAUACGCCUAAGAAAAGAUGCAACCAUGCUUUGGAAUAGACAUACUGAAAAAUUUGCAGAAUGGUUAAAAAAGAAGGUUAGAACAAAAUAUUGCAAUAUUUUUUAGUUUUGAUUAAUUAUUUGCUUGAUCAAAAUAUUAAUGAAAUUUCUUAAACAUUCACAGAUACCUAUUGAUUCAGAGAAUCACUCAGACACAUUAAAAUGGAUUGCAUAUGGUCCACGAGACAACGCUUUGUCUUAUACCGGUUAUAUAAUCAAUGGGUUUCGAUUUCACACAAAGGACGUUGAUCGAGAAACUCAAAAUAGUGGAGUGAUUUAUGAGGCUACAAGCAUGUGUAGGGCAAGCGCCAAAGAUAAUGCACAAGUGCCUGAUUUGGUUACUUAUUAUGGAUUAAUAACAGAUAUCUUAUUACUUGAUUAUCAUGUAUUUCAUGUUCCGAUUUUUCGGUGUCAAUGGGCAAAUAAGGGUAAUGGUGUUAAAUUUGAAGAUGGAUUUACUCUUGUGAACCUUAAUCAAAGUCAAGCAUCAUUUGCGAGGGAUCCAUAUAUCUUAGCAGCUCAAGCUAAGCAAGUAUUUUAUUCGAAGGAGGAUGAUCUCUCCAAUUGGUCUGUUGUGCUGAAAGCACCACAAAGAGGUUUUCAGGACUUAGAGGCAAUUAACGAAGAUAAUGAAAUUGUAGAUGUCCCUGGACUUCCUCGAGAAGUCGAAGUUGACAUGAACGUUGAAGAGUCAAAUGAUGAAGUUAGAUAUGUUAGGGAUGACUGUGAAGGAAUACUUGAGUAAAAUUUGUUUAGUUAAUUUUAUUGAUUCAUAUAUUAGUCGUAUGGAGAAAAUGCCCUUUUAUAAGAUUUGUCAGAUUAUUUUUUAGUUUAUAGAUUAUAAUUAUAAAUAUGUGAUUAUUAUUUGUUUACUAAUAUUGUCUUUGAUGGUUCAGUAAGUUUACUUUUGAACAAAGUUCAUUGUUUGCAUCAAUUUAUAUUUUAUUAUUGUUACAUUAUUUUUUUUUUCUAAACAGGUUAUGCUUCCUUAUUUAUUUAUUUAUUUAUAUCUCUAAAUUUUCCAUUUUUUGUUCAAGAAUGAUACUGUGCUUGUGUUUGUGAAAUAUACAUCUCAUUCGACAAUGCUGAUAUACUUCAUUUUUUGAAACAGGUUAAGAACUAUGGAAUCUCAAGCUAAGAAGACAAGUUCCAAGAAGCGAAAGCGUUCUAAAC